UGGGAAUACAUUGGUUUGUGUUGCCCUUAGGUCUUGGUCAUGUUGUAGAGGUCGUGGGUGUUGGUUGUGACGCGGCUUGGUAGCUCCAUGAUUUGCCUCAUUGCCAUAUGCAUGGGGUUGAUCUAGGUGAUGCAUGUAUCAUAGUACGUAUCGGUGCUAAUCUUUGUAAUUAGCGUUGUAAUACUCGAAAAGCUCUGUAUGCGGCUUC
Molecule: long non-coding RNA, 208 nt
Filed under: Hordeum vulgare
Lineage: Eukaryota; Viridiplantae; Streptophyta; Magnoliopsida; Poales; Poaceae
Description: long non-coding RNA (HVUL_LNC012962)
Source: RNAcentral